GUGUCAGCAGCCGCGGUAAUACGUAGGUGGCAAGCGUUGUCCGGAUUUAUUGGGUUUAAAGGGUGCGUAGGCGGUUUUUUAAGUCAGUGCUGAAAUACUCCAGCUUAACUGGAGGGGUGGCAUUGAUACUGGAAGACUUGAGUACAGAUGAGGUAGGCGGAAUUGACGGUGUAGCGGUGAAAUGCAUAGAUAUCGUCAAGAACACCGAUAGCGAAGGCAGCUUACUGGGCUGUAACUGACGCUGAUGCACGAAAGUGUGGGGAUCAAACAGGAUUAGAAACCCGUGUAGUCC
RNAcentral lists this ribosomal RNA (292 nucleotides) under uncultured bacterium. RNAcentral's name for it is "partial 16S ribosomal RNA". It matches the Rfam family "Bacterial small subunit ribosomal RNA", at positions 505 to 796 of the family's 1533-position model. The record is from RNAcentral.